This 433-nucleotide ribosomal RNA is filed under the name uncultured bacterium. RNAcentral's name for it is "partial 16S ribosomal RNA". It matches the Rfam family "Bacterial small subunit ribosomal RNA", at positions 29 to 507 of the family's 1533-position model. The record is from RNAcentral.
AACGAACGCUGGCGGCAUGCCUAACACAUGCAAGUCGAACGAGACCUUCGGGUCUAGUGGCGCACGGGUGCGUAACGCGUGGGAACCUGCCCUUAGGUUCGGAAUAACUCCCCGAAAGGGGUGCUAAUACCGGUUAAUGUCUUCGGACCAAAGAUUUAUCGCCUUUGGAUGGGCCCGCGUUGGAUUAGCUAGUUGGUAGGGUAAAAGCCUGCCAAGGCGACGAUCCAUAGCUGGUCUGAGAGGAUGCUCAGCCACACUGGGACUGAGACACGGCCCAGACUCCUACGGGAGGCAGCAGUGGGGAAUAUUGGACAAUGGGCGAAAGCCUGAUCCAGCAAUGCCGCGUGAGUGAUGAAGGCCUUAGGGUUGUAAAGCUCUUUUACCCGGGAUGAUAAUGACGGUACCGGGAGAAUAAGCUCCGGCUAACUCCGUG